This 625-nucleotide long non-coding RNA is filed under the name Xyrichtys novacula (pearly razorfish). The record is from RNAcentral. Lineage: Eukaryota; Metazoa; Chordata; Actinopteri; Labriformes; Labridae.
AGGGAGUCUGAGAAGAGGAAAGGGAGCUGAGGUGGGAGGAGGACGCCAUUGCAGCCGCAGCUGGCUGUAUGUGUUCGGGCUGAGGGGGGACAAACGUUACCGAGCGUUACAACUGGGAGAAACAUUGUGGACUUUUUCAGGGCCGAGACAACUAUCGCUGUGUUUUAAUGUGGAAACAAACGCCAAGGAUGGGCGGUUUGCUUCGUGAACGGAGAAAAUGUGGAGUCAGAGCAGCGCAGCGAAGCAGGUAAAGUGGGUUAGUGUAGUUUGGUGUGUUUACGGGGACAAUGGGAGAAAGUUUCGGCUAACCUCAGCUAACUAACGGGAGUUGUUUCAGCUAGCGUUACUGCUAGUUGUGGUACUCACAGUGAAGAUUUUUUAUCAAAGUUUAUCGCUGUAAAGGGCUUUAAAGAAUUCUUACAUACAUCAUUCAUUUGCUCAUACAGUCACACCUUGGUGGUGGUAAACUGCCUUAGUAGUCACAGCUGACCUACCUGUGGCAGACUGACGGAAACAUGGCUGCCAGUUUGCGCCUCUGUGACUCUCACCCACCCAAAAACUCAAGGCAGAUUGUUCAGCAUUAUAGUAUAUUAGGGAAGCGUUAUUAUCUAGCCAAUAGAAGUAG